UACGGAGGGUGCGAGCGUUAAUCGGAAUGACUGGGCGUAAAGCGCACGUAGGCGGUGACUCAAGUCAGUUGUGAAAGCCCUGGGCUCAACCUGGGAAUGGCGAUUGAGACUGAGUGACUGGAGUGUAACAGAGGACCGUGGAAUUCCCGGUGUAGCGGUGAAAUGCGUAGAGAUCGGGAAGAACACCGAUGGCGAAGGCAGCGGUCUGGGUUAACACUGACGCUGAGGUGCGAAAGCGUGGGGAGCAAACAGG
RNAcentral lists this ribosomal RNA (253 nucleotides) under uncultured bacterium. RNAcentral describes it as "partial 16S ribosomal RNA". It matches the Rfam family "Bacterial small subunit ribosomal RNA", at positions 524 to 776 of the family's 1533-position model. The record is from RNAcentral.